Long non-coding RNA from Nothoprocta perdicaria, 183 nucleotides. RefSeq lists it as uncharacterized. The record is from RefSeq and is a predicted model, not a curated record. Lineage: Eukaryota; Metazoa; Chordata; Aves; Tinamiformes; Tinamidae. The transcript has 2 exons.
AGUAGAUGCUCUUCUAGACACAGAAGCCGUUGAUGCAACUGGUGGUCCUUGGACUUCUCUUUGUGUCCAGAGAGAAAAUGGGUCGCCUGACAAAUGUGUGACUCAAGGGGAAAUAACCUGUAGAAGAUCCAAGUUGUAGCAGACAAAGUCAGGGUUCUGAUGAGAACUGAGGUGUUGAUGGCA